UUAAGGAACUCGGCAAAAUAGCACCGUAACUUCGGGAGAAGGUGUGCCCGCCGACGUGAUGGAACUUGCUUCCUGAGCGUUGGCGGGUCGCAGUGAAAUGGGGGUUGCGACUGUUUACUAAAAACACAGGACUGUGCGAACUCGUAAGAGGACGUAUACGGUCUGACGCCUGCCCGGUGCUGGAAGGUUAAGGGGAGAGGUUAGCGCAAGCGAAGCUUCGAACCGAAGCCCCAGUAAACGGCGGCCGUAACAAUAACGGUCCUAAGGUAGCAAAUUCCUUGUCGGGUAAGUUCCGACCUGCACGAGGGCGUAACGACAUCCCUACUGUCUCGGCCAGCGACUCAGCGAAAUUGUAUCGGGGGUGAAGAUACCCUCUACCCGCGGCAAGACGGAAAGACCCCAUGAACCUUUACUGCAACUUGGCAGUGAGGUUCGGAACAGUCUGCGUAGGAUAGGUAGGAGGCUUUGAAGUCGGGAUUCCGGUCUCGAUGGAGCCGUCGUUGAAAUACUACCCUGGCUUUUCUGGACUUCUAACCUAGGCCCCUCAACGGGGUCGGGGACACUGCCUGGUGGGCAGUUUGACUGGGGCGGUCGCCUCCCAAACAGUAACGGAGGCGCGCGAAGGUACCCUCAGGCUGAUUGGAAACCAGCCGGCGAGUGCAAUGGCACAAGGGUGCUUAACUGUGAGAGGGACACCUCGAGCAGGUGCGAAAGCAGGCCAUAGUGAUCCGGUGGUCCCGCAUGGAAGGGCCAUCGCUCAUCGGACAAAAGGUACUCUGGGGAUAACAGGCUGAUCGCGCCUGAGAGUCCAUAUCGGCGGCGCGGUUUGGCACCUCGAUGUCGGCUCAUCGCAUCCUGGGGCUGGAGCAGGUCCCAAGGGUUUGGCUGUUCGCCAAUUAAAGCGGUACGCGAGCUGGGUUUAGAACGUCGUGAGACAGUUCGGUCCCUAUCUGCCGUGGGCGCAGGAUACUUGAGAGGAGCUGUUCAUAGUACGAGAGGACCUGAACGGACGCACCUCUAGUGUUCCGGUUGUCAUGCCAAUGGCAUAGCCGGGUAGCUAUGUGCGGAACGGAUAACCGCUGAAAGCAUCUAAGCGGGAAGCCGGCCUCAAGACAAGGUAUCCCGGGGCAUAAGCCCCCUGAAGGCCCCUUGAAGACUACAAGGUGAUAGGCGGGAGGUAGAAGCGCAGCGAUGCGCGGAGCUGACCCGUACUAAUAGGCCGUGCGGCUUGACCG
RNAcentral lists this ribosomal RNA (1235 nucleotides) under metagenome. RNAcentral describes it as "bacterial LSU rRNA". It matches the Rfam family "Bacterial large subunit ribosomal RNA", at positions 1705 to 2925 of the family's 2925-position model. The record is from RNAcentral.